RNAcentral lists this non-coding RNA (148 nucleotides) under Chlorocebus sabaeus (green monkey). The record is from Rfam by way of RNAcentral. Lineage: Eukaryota; Metazoa; Chordata; Mammalia; Primates; Cercopithecidae.
GCUGGGCAUGGUGGCACACGCCUGUAGUCCCAGCUACUCAGGAGGCUGAGGUGGGGGAAUUGCUUGAGCCCAGGAGACUGAGGCUGCAGUGAGCUAUGAUGGCACCACUGCCCUCCAGCCUGGGCAACAGAGUGAGACCCUGUCUCAA